GACAGGGGGCUCGAGCGUUAAUCGGAAUCACUGGGCUUAAAGGGUGCGUAGGCGGGCCAGUAAGCGUCUUGUGAAAUCCCCCGGCUCAACCGGGGAACUGCGGGGCGAACUGCUGGUCUUGAGGAAGCUAGAGGCCGGUAGAACGAUUGGUGGAGCGGUGGAAUGCGUAGAUAUCAAUCGGAAUGCCGAAAGUGAAGACAGCCGGCUGGGGCUUUCCUGACGCUGAGGCACGAAAGCGUGGGGAGCAAACGGG
This 253-nucleotide ribosomal RNA is filed under the name uncultured bacterium. Its description in RNAcentral is "partial 16S ribosomal RNA". It matches the Rfam family "Bacterial small subunit ribosomal RNA", at positions 524 to 776 of the family's 1533-position model. The record is from RNAcentral.